RNAcentral lists this small nucleolar RNA (136 nucleotides) under Physeter macrocephalus (sperm whale). RNAcentral describes it as "Physeter catodon (sperm whale) Small nucleolar RNA SNORA1 (ENSPCTG00005020929.1)". It matches the Rfam family "Small nucleolar RNA SNORA1". From Rfam's summary of the family: ACA1 is a member of the H/ACA class of snoRNA that guide the sites of modification of uridines to pseudouridines. The record is from Rfam by way of RNAcentral. Lineage: Eukaryota; Metazoa; Chordata; Mammalia; Artiodactyla; Physeteridae.
AGCUUCAUUUUAGAUGCAAAUGGGAACUGUUGUGCAUGGUGUCCAGAUUAUUACUGAUGUGGCCACACUGAGACAUAGGUUUUGUUUCCAUCACCGUAAGUUUAUUGCAGUGGUGACAAGGAGACCUGUAACAUGU